RNAcentral lists this ribosomal RNA (474 nucleotides) under uncultured bacterium. RNAcentral describes it as "bacterial SSU rRNA". It matches the Rfam family "Bacterial small subunit ribosomal RNA", at positions 26 to 518 of the family's 1533-position model. The record is from RNAcentral.
AGGACGAACGCUGGCGGCGUGCCUAACACAUGCAAGUCGAGCGAGGAGAUCCUCGGGAUGAUCCUAGCGGCGGACGGGUGAGUAACACGUGGGCAACCUGCCUCAUAGAGAGGAAUAGCCUUCCGAAAGGGAGAUUAAUACCUCAUAACAUUGCAGUUUCGCAUGAAACAGCAAUUAAAGGAGCAAUCCGCUAUGAGAUGGGCCCGCGGCGCAUUAGCUAGUUGGUGAGGUAACGGCUCACCAAGGCGACGAUGCGUAGCCGACCUGAGAGGGUGAUCGGCCACAUUGGGACUGAGACACGGCCCAGACUCCUACGGGAGGCAGCAGUGGGGAAUAUUGCACAAUGGGGGAAACCCUGAUGCAGCCAACGCCGCGUGAGUGAUGACGGCCUUCGGGUUGUAAAGCUCUGUCUUCAGGGACGAUAAUGACGGUACCUGAGGAGGAAGCCACGGCUAACUACGUGCCAGCAGCUGC